This 429-nucleotide ribosomal RNA is filed under the name Bacteroidota bacterium. RNAcentral describes it as "Bacteroidetes bacterium partial 16S ribosomal RNA". It matches the Rfam family "Bacterial small subunit ribosomal RNA", at positions 355 to 776 of the family's 1533-position model. Lineage: Bacteria; Pseudomonadati; Bacteroidota. The record is from RNAcentral.
UAGGGAAUCUUCGGCAAUGGGGGGAACCCUGACCGAGCAACGCCGCGUGAGUGAAGAAGGUUUUCGGAUCGUAAAGCUCUGUUGUUAAGGAAGAACGAGUGUGAGAAUGGAAAGUUCAUACUGUGACGGUACUUAACCAGAAAGGGACGGCUAACUACGUGCCAGCAGCCGCGGUAAUACGUAGGUCCCGAGCGUUGUCCGGAUUUAUUGGGCGUAAAGCGAGCGCAGGCGGUUAGAUAAGUCUGAAGUUAAAGGCAGUGGCUCAACCAUUGUAGGCUUUGGAAACUGUUUAACUGGAGUGCAGAAGGGGAGAGGGGAAUUCCAUGUGUAGCGGUGAAAUGCGUAGAUAUAUGGAGGAACACCGGUGGCGAAAGCGGCUCUCUGGUCUGUAACUGACGCUGAGGCUCGAAAGCGUGGGGAGCGAACAGG